UGUAUAAAGUGGCGAACGGCUGAGUAACACGUGGGCAACCUGCCCUUUGCACUGGGAUAGCCUCGGGAAACCGAGGUUAAUACCGGAUACUCCAUAUUUGUCGCAUGGCGAAUAUGGGAAAGCUCCGGCGGCAAAGGGUGGGCCCGCGGCCUGUUAGCUAGUUGGUGGGGUAGUGGCCUACCAAGGCAAUGAUGGGUAGCCGGGUUGAGAGACCGACCGGCCAGAUUGGGACUGAGACACGGCCCAGACUCCUACGGGAGGCAGCAGUC
This 269-nucleotide ribosomal RNA is filed under the name uncultured Atopobium sp. Its description in RNAcentral is "partial 16S ribosomal RNA". It matches the Rfam family "Bacterial small subunit ribosomal RNA", at positions 87 to 355 of the family's 1533-position model. Lineage: Bacteria; Bacillati; Actinomycetota; Coriobacteriia; Coriobacteriales; Atopobiaceae. The record is from RNAcentral.